Molecule: long non-coding RNA, 3403 nt
Filed under: Setaria italica (foxtail millet)
Lineage: Eukaryota; Viridiplantae; Streptophyta; Magnoliopsida; Poales; Poaceae
Description: long non-coding RNA (SITA_LNC003152)
Source: RNAcentral
UUCAUCUCAAUUCUCACCUAGUGCAACAGGACACGUACCCUCUGUCCGCUUUCUGUCCAAGUCCUAAUAAAGUAUGCUUAAAAUCUGAAGAACCAAAACCGUGGACCAUCACCGCCGGGAUCCCAUCCCAAUUCCACAGAAUUUGAGGUUUCCACACUCGUCAUUCCCAGUACUUAUACCACCCGAAAAUCCAAGCGAAAUCCCACCUCCCAGACCUCGAAGCCUGGAGCUCACAGGCGACGGACGCGAAGAUUCGAUUUCUGCGAUUCUUGGAGCCCUCUUGUGCCGCGGUCUUGAAAUCUAGCCGCGAUUUUUGUUUCCUCCCUUCCGGUGGACGCUGCCGUGGCUGCGCACCCUUUGUGUCUUGCGUGUCUGCGCUGCUGAUGCUGACNNNNNNNNNNNNNNNNNNNNNNNNNNNNNNNNNNNNNNNNNNNNNNNNNNNNNNNNNNNNNNNNNNNNNNNNNNNNNNNNNNNNNNNNNNNNNNNNNNNNCGCGGAGGAAAACGGAGUGCCCCGUGGGAAGAAGAAAAACGGAGUGUGGACAAAGGAAAGGAGACGAGGAAGAUAGAAAAAUUAGAAACGAACCCGGUACUUGUGUAACCAGUGGCAAUGGUGGGUAAAUAACCCCCAACUCCAUGAGAAGGUCUGAAAAGGAGGUUUUUGGAGCACCUCUUGAGGUACUCCACAAAAAACGUGGAUCUACCCCCUGCUCCACCUUUUUUCUGGAGCCGGAGUUGUUGGAGCUAGACGCGUUUGGUUGCGAAAUUUUCAGAGUUGGUGGAGUGGAGCAAUUUUUUGUGGAGUGGAGUGCUCCCAAACACCCCCUAAGUGGGCCUGAACUGAACUACCAACGGCCCGCGGGCCUCACGGGCCCAUUUGAACAGUUGAUCGUAUUUUUUUUCGUUCGCAAUUUUUUUAAAUACUCUUAAUCGUUUCUGUAGAAAUUUAUGUGUGGGCUCUGUUUUGUUUCUGCAGGUUAUGAAGGUUGCAAAUACGUAUCCAUGUGAAUGAUAUUUUCGAUACAUUCUUGUGCAAAUAACCACCCUGCUGGCUGCUGUCGACUGCAUCAUCAAUUCAUCAUUCAUCAGUACAUACAUGUCAUAUUGUUUUUAUUAGUUGGUCUACCUCUACCUGUUAUAUCAUAGGCAUAAACGGUUGUUUUGUAUUUCUUCUGUUUUGUAAGAAGAAAGGAACUGGGUUGAUGUAUGGAUGGUAAAAUUGCAGAGUAUUGAGGAACAAUGAUUUGAGUGUGUUUGGAAUUUGGAGCGCAAAAAACACUGCAGGAAUCGGAAUUUUUUCCUUGGAAAUCGCAAUCAACAUUAGUUUUUAGCAUAGAAAAGGCUGACAUUUAUUUUUUUUAAAAAAAUCAUAUUUCACAUUUUUUAAGUAGGUUCUUAUUAAAAUGACACUGGCUUAAGACUAGGCGACUAGCUAACGUUUUCAAUCGGCAAAACAACUGCAAGCUCAACAUUAUUUUGGCAAGUGUCAUAUGCGUUGGAACAUGAUACUUGUGUGAAAUAAGAUCAAACACUAAGUAAAUAUAUAAGAAAUAGCUAUAUACGUACUCCUCGCAAAAAAUAAAAACAAACUAGCUAUAUACGUAGUACUAGUAUCAUUUCCUCUUCAUGAUGAAGUUUAAAGCAUAUUACAUUUUAUACUCGCUAUUUCCUCUUCACUGUAGACAGAGGUACACUACUGCAGUUUUCCUAUUUCCAUAGGGUUUGAAUUUCUAUGAAAAGGCCUCAAAACGAUAGGGGUAUACUUUGCCUACGGGUUUGGGUAGGGAGCAUUGUUUUGCGAUCCUAGUGAUCCGUUGCUCUUUUCUUUUUGACAUUGACUUUUGUAAUAUUUUGCUAUGGUAUUCAAUUGGUUAUGUUGUAUGGAGACUUGUACCAUGCUAGGCAUUCAGCCGUGUUUGGCAAGAGUCCGGUUUUCUGGAAACGGAGAAGGCGUUUUUCACUAAAAACACCAAUUUAGAUGAUUCUCUUUUAAUAAAUAAAAUAGAAACGUCUCUUCGGUUUCUCAUCGCAAUAAAAAAUAGGAGGGCUUUUCCGAUCGAAAUGAAGAAGUCAUGCCAAAUGGCCAAUCAUCAUUUAGCAAGAAAAGUGCACCACAUCGGACUAAUCUCAAUGAAAAGUUUCGUGUGAUGUUUUCAAGAUAGUCACAUAAGCAAGAUUGAAAUGAAAUGGUGUUUGAAAUUACCAUCUCCAAUGCAUAAUUUCAUGAUGUGGUUUCAUACGAUCAAAAUCGUAUUUAAUUUCAUGACUCAUAGAGCGUUGAUAUUCGUAUACAGUUGGUUUCAUCCCGGUGAAACUAGUUCCCUCUCUCCUCUUUAAUUUUAUACAUGUCAAAAAAUCUUAUGUGGCAUGUUAAUUAAUGAGAAUGAAAGCUCGUGAAAUUCCGUAUUGGGAGUAGCCUCACAACCCCCAAACAGAUAUCUGUUACUGAUGCUAGACCAGCUGACAUGGAUCCGAUCUGUGUUUGGUCUGUUGCUGACAUAGCACACCUAUCCCGUGCAAUUUGCAAGGAAAGGCUUGUCAAUAGAAAAAGAAAAGCUACGAGCUACUCACAGCUUGGCUCGAAGCGGCUCGAUUUGAGAUCGGCUCGUUUAGAAAUCGAGCCGAGCUGGAGGCCCAAGCCCCGAGCUCGCGAGCUUUGACUAGCCAAUCUUGAGCUAGGCUCGUUUCACGUUUGUUUCUUUCGCUCCACCAGUAACCGUAACCGGCAGCUCGAAACCCUGGACCCACAAGUCAGCGUGUCACCCACAGAGACCAACGGGCCCCACGUCAUUCCCGUCCCCCAGUUCAGCGCUGCCCCCGGAUCUCUCCCUUCCUGCUCGUCGUCUCCUCGCUCGCCGCCCGGCCACCUGCGCCCACCGGCGGCUGCCCUUCCACAGAUCCCGUGCCCCCCCCCCCCCCCACUCGGUCGUCGCCGACCAGCCGGUGUUCUGCAAUCUGCACGGAUCUCAGGUUCGGCUCACUUUCUGUCGAACUUGAGGUUGAGGUCGCGGGCGAGCUCGAGCUCGGCUCGUUGGCUGCCCAUUCAUCUCAAUUCUCACCUAGUGCAACAGGACACGUACCCUCUGUCCGCUUUCUGUCCAAGUCCUAAUAAAGUAUGCUUAAAAUCUGAAGAACCAAAACCGUGGACCAUCACCGCCGGUAUCCCAUCCCAAUUCCACAGAUUUGAGGUUUCCACACUCGUCAUUCCCAGUACUUAUACCACCCGAAAAUCCAAGCGAAAUCCCACCUCCCAGACCUCGAAGCCUGGAGCUCACAGGCGACGGACGCGAAGAUUCGAUUUCUGCGAUUCUUUGGAGCCCUCUUGUGCCGCCGGGUUCUUGAAAUCUUAGGCCGCGAUUUUUGUUUCCUCCCUUUCCGGUUGGACGGCUGCCGUGGCUGGCGCAC